RNA transcript from Triticum dicoccoides, 2348 nucleotides. RefSeq lists it as uncharacterized. The record is from RefSeq and is a predicted model, not a curated record. The transcript is spliced from 3 exons. Lineage: Eukaryota; Viridiplantae; Streptophyta; Magnoliopsida; Poales; Poaceae.
CCCCUUUCCCCUUCCGUUUGUCACUGUUUGCCGUCAUCCCCGAGCUUGGCCGUCCUCGUCCAUGGCCAUGCUCAAGUUUCCAUGUACGUGCGCGCCCCCAGCGCCACGCGCGCCUUAGCCGUCCGCCGCCACGCUCCUGCUGCUUGCUAGGUACGCUGCUGCUUCGUGGCUUAACCGCUGCUGCUGACGCCCACUGUCGUAGCCGCCCGCCACUGUUGCCUGAUGCUGUUGCUCCUUGCUGAUGUCACCACUGCUGCAUGUGCGCGCCGCUGCCCACUGUGGCCCGUGCUUGCUGGCCGCGACCUGCGCGCCAUGCCCAUCGCUGUUCCCGGCCGCCCCUGGUGUGCUCCCCUUGUGCCUGCAGUUGGUCGUGUCCAUGGCGCCGAGCGCCUGUGCGUACAUGUGUGCCCAAGCACCAGUGAGCCGCAGCUGGCGCUAUGACUGACGAGGCUGGCCCAUUUUAGUGAAGCACUAAUAGGAGUUUAGUUAGGGAUUGACUGAGAACGGCGAUUGUGCGGACGGGCUCGCCUGCUCUCGGAACGUUUGCCAAUCAGACAACGACGCGUUCCAUACAAGAUUGAAUGCGAUCGUAUAUAUACCCAACGUAUACAAACAGUGGAACAGUGAUUGGCGGUGACGGAGCCGUGCGAAGUAACACUGGCUUAUCGGUACAGCAUGCUCCUGUCCCGGUGGUACAUUACAGCACGCGUGAAAACCGGGACGGCAUGGAAACGACGCUAUCCGGACGGAUAAGUCAAGGGUUGCAAUGUGGGUCCACACUCGUGCCCGACAGUAAAUAAAGGGAAAAAAGAAGUCUAUCCUUUCGAGCGCCGCACGGGGCGAGAAGCUCAGCGCUAUGGCGAUGCGGCGCUCGAAGCUCAGCGCUAUGGCGAUGGCGGAGACGGCAGACGACGGAUUUCAGUUCCUAUCAGAUCCAACCGACAGCGGCAGUAAAUCAUUACUGGAUGGCGAAGCAAUUCAAACUUUGGUGUGCACAGCCACUGAAUCCAGCAUUGGUGAUGUGGGCGAUACAGAAGAGACAAUACAAGUAGAUGUCAACAGCACUUGCAAUGGAGUGGCCAUGUCCCUGGCAAACUCAGAACAUUCAACAAGCAAAGAUAACCCGCAAGCACCUGGCUGGACAAAGAGGUAUACAAGUGUCAAUGCGUGUUUCUAUUUCGAACAUAUGCCAACUUUGACUGGCAUGUAUGUUCCCUCAAAAAAUACAAUAGUGUAGUUAAAGUGUUGAACAUUUGUAUUGUUUGUGGGAGUCAACAAUCACUUCCAAAGUGUGAUUUUCGGUGGGGGUCUUAGUAAGGGAUGAGACAGUGGAAACAUUUACAUUGGUGUUCACUGGAUUUAUCCGCAUGAUGGGCGGCAAACAUCCACAGAACUUGCUCACAGUGCAGAGCCAUGGAGGUUGUAGCAAUAGAUAAGGUGAUGCCAAAUACCAGACAUCGCUGGUGCAAGUGGCAUGGCCUGAAGAAGGCAAAAGAAUCUCAUGGCUCAAAUUGCACAAAGAGAAGCAAGUUUAGAACGGACUUCCACAAGAUAAUACACCACGUGCUGACAGCUGAUGUGUUUGAGACUGGAUGGAAUUGAUUGACAGAAACACAUGGUUUGCAAAAACACCCUUACCUUACUCAAAUCUACUCCGUGCAGAACCAUAUUUCAAGAACACAACCGCCACCGUGCAUCACAUGUAGUUGUUGUGCACGACGCAAUGUGUUUAGAAGACAGAAUUCAGUCGAACAAGUCGAAAGGUAAAGAAGUGAUUGUGUUGCAUGAACCACACAAUGGAUAUGGGCUGAUGUUGUAGGUAGUGCAGUUGGAAAUUUCAUUGGGUUAACUGCUACAGAGCGUAAAUGGAAGGUCGGUCGACCAACCAGCAGCAGGGACAAGCCUCCAUAUAUGAUGAUCGCUGUGCAAAGAGCCAAAAAUGUAAGUUGGUGCCACAUAUGGGUGUUGCUGGAGAAUUUGGUACAAGCAAGCAUCCACGCUUUUGCAGUAUAUGUCGUCAGCCAGGGCACAAGAGCACCACGUAUCCAUAGAGCGGUGACCUCCCUCAAAUGGCAUGCAAAGAAGCAAAAUGCUCGAACUGCGGAGUGGGAGGGAUCGGAAGAACACCUGCAACAACCCUAAGGUUGUGCUACAUGUUGCCGAGAAAGGUGCCCUUGUACGGGCUGUAGCUCUGUGAUUGAACUGAAUAAGCAGUGCGUAGCACUGACAUUUGGCUGUUUUUCCUUGUAUGAUGAGGCUUAGUAGCCAUUGGUGUGAAAUGGAUUAUGCAUUGUCGGGUUAGUAAUUGUGAUGAUGUUUCUCUUCGAUUAGUCUCAACCUCUGACUUA